GAGAUGGCGGAAAGCACACGACUGUGACCUGAACCAUAUGACUAUAGGACUUGUGAGUAAAUUGUUGCAAGGGGGAUGCGUGACUGCUAGCGCUUGCUGUGUGCUUAACUUCAUAUGGGAACAUGUCGUCCAAUUGAUAGUGAGGAGAUGUUGUCAUUCUGAGGUCUCCUGAGAAACCAAAUAACCUUAUUUGCAAGAGGAUUGCUGCAAUGGGUGGGGAGUUCAUGAGAACUGACACUGAUGGAAAAGAUAGCUUUGAAAACCUCAAUCUUCUUUGUAUUGG
Non-coding RNA from Pocillopora verrucosa, 283 nucleotides. The record is from RefSeq and is a predicted model, not a curated record. NCBI's taxonomy places the organism in Eukaryota, Metazoa, Cnidaria, Anthozoa, Scleractinia, Pocilloporidae.